Ixodes scapularis (black-legged tick) is the source of this 296-nucleotide RNA transcript. It is a transcript of the gene named antimicrobial peptide ISAMP-like, with no coding region annotated. The record is from RefSeq and is a predicted model, not a curated record. NCBI's taxonomy places the organism in Eukaryota, Metazoa, Arthropoda, Arachnida, Ixodida, Ixodidae. The transcript is spliced from 3 exons.
UCACGCAUAUCUGCGAAGAUACUCCCGAAUAACCCUUCAACAAUGCGUGCCGUAACCAUUUUCAUCGUUACUCUUGUUGUUCUGGAAAGCUUCUACUUUGGCAUGUAUGAAUGCUCAGCAGGACCUGCUUGGCAGGUGAAGGCUAAGAGACCUAAAUGUUAUAGGAAAGCAUGCAAGGAUAAUAAUGAAUGCAAAUUUGGGUCGUGCUCACGUUGCAAUAACGGCCUUCAUGGAGACAAUACUUGCCGCUAAGAGUACAGUAGAUAAAGUGCCGCUAUAUUGUAGUGCACGAAUAA